This 91-nucleotide microRNA precursor is filed under the name Drosophila willistoni. RNAcentral's name for it is "microRNA dwi-mir-7 precursor". Its record names the gene dwi-mir-7. It matches the Rfam family "mir-7 microRNA precursor family". From Rfam's summary of the family: This family represents the microRNA (miRNA) precursor mir-7. In this case the mature sequence comes from the 5' arm of the precursor. Lineage: Eukaryota; Metazoa; Arthropoda; Insecta; Diptera; Drosophilidae. The record is from miRBase by way of RNAcentral.
GAAUGCAUUCCGUAUGGAAGACUAGUGAUUUUGUUGUUUGGUCUUUAAUAAAAUUAACAAUAAAUCCCUUGUCUUCUUAUGGCGUGUAUUU